This 1736-nucleotide long non-coding RNA is filed under the name Homo sapiens (human). Its description in RNAcentral is "HSALNT0248148". Lineage: Eukaryota; Metazoa; Chordata; Mammalia; Primates; Hominidae. The record is from RNAcentral.
CACACAGGACACCCACCCAGCCUAUGGUCCUGUCUGUGGUUGGACAACAUAAUCAGAAUAACAGGAUGUAAUGAAGGCCCCUAAUGAGUUGGUAUUAAGCCAUUCAAAAGAGAGAUGAUCUUGGGUGAGUCUGAUCUAAUCACCUGCAUCUGUUAACAGGGUCCAGAUGUCAGGGAUGGAAGUUGGAGAAAGAUGAGGCAGCAGCAGACACUUUCUCCUGUUGGCCUUAAAGAAGCAACCGCCUGUGCUGGGAGAGGGUCACUGGGCUGAGAUUGGUAGGUGGCUCUGGGAGCUGAGGGCCUAAACCUAUGACCACAAGGAACUGAAUUCAUCCCAAAGCCAGAGAGGUGGAAGACGACUCAGAAGAUGCAGAUGCCAAUGCCACAUCCUGGUGAGCAGCUGGAUUGCAGCUGGACCCGCUAAACCAAGCCCCAGACUCCUGACCAGUGGGAGCUGCAAGAUAAUGAAUAUAGUUUUCUUGUUGUUUUUUGUUUUCUUUUUAAUAAGCAAUAUGACUUUAUUUAGUUACUUUGGAAACAAAAACCCCCAAAUAAUGCCUGAACCCAAAGGUACAUAAAAAUGGCCCAAAAUAGUUUAAAAUAGAUUUGAACAUCAUUUGUAGUUUCUUCCUCAUAACAUGAGCGCUUUCAGCUGGACAGUAGAUUACAAAGCAUCUCCGAUCAUGUUAAGGCAGAUCAUCAAUCUGUGGCUGCAUCUGUAACUCCUGCUGGGAAAAUAAUCCUGUUGGAGUUGGGGGCUCUUCCCAGUUGUUUGGCCAGUUGGCCCAGGAAGGGGCAGUCCUGGAGCUGACGGGUGGGUGAGGAGCCAGGCGAACUCCUGACAUUGUGAUCUGCCCUCCUUGGCCUCCCAAAGUGCUGGGAUUACAGGCGUAAGCCACCGCACCCAGCAGAAAAAAAUCUUAAACUUACAAAAACAUAGAGAGAAAUAUAGCAAAUGCUUGUAUUAGUUUUCUAUGGCUGCUGUAACAAAUUACUACCACUUUGGUGACCUAAAACAACCCAAAUUUACUACCGUACAAGUCCUGUAGGUCAGGAGCCCACACGGGGCUCACUGGGCUAAAACUCAGGUGAUGGCAGGACACCUGAGCAUCUGCAGGAUCAUUCAUUCCUUGCCUUUUCCACCUUGAGAGGCCACCUGUGGCAUUCCUGGGCUUGUGGCCCCUUCCUCCAUCUCCGGAGUCAGCACCAGCGGCCACAUCCUUGUCAGGUUGAAUCUCUCUGAACUUCCUUCCAGUGUUACGUCUCUUUCCAAUUCUCAUUUGCAGGUAAAGGUUCUCGGAAGGACCCAAUGAGACUGGGCUCACUGGGAUAAUCCAGGAUCAUCUCCCAUCUCAAGGUUCUUCAUCGCAUACUUGCAAAGCCCCUUUUGCCAUGUCAGGUAACUUGUUCACAGGUUUGAAGAUUAGAAUGUGGGCAUGUUUGGGGGGCAUAAUUAGGCCUAGCACAAUGCCCAUGUACCCAUCUCCUUGCUUAAACAUUAAACACUUUGCCAAUAUUGUUUCUCCUAUCUCUCACUUUGUUCUCUAAAAAACUCCAGGAAUUUGUUAUUAAAUUUUAUUAAAGCAAAUCCCAGAAAUAAUAUAAUUUGCCUGUAAAUAUGUUAAUAUGUUUCUCUGAGGCCUUUAAAAAUCAUAGCCACUAUGGUAUUAUCGUAAUAAAAUUACCUGAAGUUAUUUAAUGUCACCUAACAUUCAGUCCAUGUUUAAGUUUCCCAAU